Molecule: transfer RNA, 77 nt
Filed under: Lachnospiraceae bacterium
Lineage: Bacteria; Bacillati; Bacillota; Clostridia; Lachnospirales; Lachnospiraceae
Description: tRNA-Arg
Rfam family: tRNA
About the family: Transfer RNA (tRNA) molecules are approximately 80 nucleotides in length. Their secondary structure includes four short double-helical elements and three loops (D, anti-codon, and T loops).
Source: RNAcentral
GUGUCCGUAGCUCAGCUGGAUAGAGCAACGGCCUUCUAAGCCGUGGGACGCGUGUUCGAGUCACGCCGGGCGCGCCA